Molecule: ribosomal RNA, 469 nt
Filed under: uncultured bacterium
Lineage: Bacteria
Description: partial 16S ribosomal RNA
Rfam family: Bacterial small subunit ribosomal RNA
Source: RNAcentral
GAGCCAGACUCCUACGGGAGGCAGCAGUGAGGAAUAUUGGUCAAUGGCCGGAAGGCUGAACCAGCCAAGCCGCGUGAAGGACGAAGGUGCCAAGCAUUGUAAACUUCUUUUGUCAAGGGACAAAAUCAGGCUCGAGAGCCUGACCGAGGGUACUUGAAGAAAAAGCAUCGGCUAACUCCGUGCCAGCAGCCGCGGUAAUACGGAGGAUGCGAGCGUUAUCCGGAUUUAUUGGGUUUAAAGGGUGCGUAGGCGGGCUGUUAAGUCAGCGGUCAAAUGUCGGGGCUCAACCCCGGCCGGCCGUUGAAACUGGCGUGCUCGAGUUGGAGAGAAGUAUGCGGAAUUCGUGGUGUAGCGGUGAAAUGCAUAGAUAUCACGAAGAACCCCGAUUGCGAAGGCAGCAUACCGGCUCCACACUGACGCUGAGGCACGAAAGCGUGGGUAUCGAACAGGAUUAGAUACCCCAGUAAAA